Molecule: long non-coding RNA, 621 nt
Organism: Hippopotamus amphibius kiboko
Lineage: Eukaryota; Metazoa; Chordata; Mammalia; Artiodactyla; Hippopotamidae
Exons: 4
Source: RefSeq, a predicted model, not a curated record
CUAGGGGAGCAGGAAAAAUAAACAGGAAGCAAUCCGGGGAGAAGGGUUAGGGGCUGGUGCGACCUGGAGAGGAGCUGGGAACUGGGGCGAUGGGGAAAGAAGCCCCUGAACGCGGGCAGCGCUGCGCGGGAGGGGCGCGGCGGGGAAGCCAGGAGGCCUGAGAAGGGGCGCCGUGGCCCAGGAGACCCUGCUCUGAUUGAGGAUUCUGCCUGUGUAGUUCUUGGCCGUGAUUUUACCAGUGUGCCCCGCCCCCCCAACACACACGGGAGCCAUCCCUGUUUCCUUGAUGGGUCUAGAAGGGCAAAACGGGGCCAGCGUGACUUCUGUGCCCUAGCCCAUCCAGCACAGUAGCCACUUGCCCACUUGUGGCUAUGGAGCUGAAAUGGACUAGUCCUAAUGGACACGUGCUGAAGACUUGUCAGACAAAGGAAAGAAGUGGAUACAGUGCUGGUCCAGAGGUCCUGCAGAGGAAGUCACACUGGCCCUUGUUUUGCCCUUCUACAUGCACCAAGGAAAGAAACAGAAGGAAUGGAAAGAAAUUUUUCCUGAGGAUAGGGCUGACUUCUGUUGAAAAUGUAUUCCUGCUGGCCCCUGACACCAUCUGAUGAGAGGGUAAGGCAC